RNAcentral lists this long non-coding RNA (432 nucleotides) under Homo sapiens (human). RNAcentral's name for it is "HSALNT0300812". Lineage: Eukaryota; Metazoa; Chordata; Mammalia; Primates; Hominidae. The record is from RNAcentral.
CCUUGCAGGGCAGCUGUGUCCUGGAUCCUGCUUUGCUUCUGGGUGAAGGAGAAGCAGCUGUAAUAGAUUCUCCUGAGGAUCACAAAUCCUAUUGAGGCCAGUUCCAUGCCGCUAGGCCAAGCAGAAAGCAGAGCUUCUCUGCAGAGAUAAAAGGCAGAGAAGUGUCUUGCUGUGCCAUGGCUCCGCAUCGUACUGUGAGAUGCAGACUUCAUUAUCCUUGAAAGUGUGGGGAGCCUCAUGCAAAUGAGCCUGGGGAGACAAGUAUGUCUUUGCCCAUGUCAGAGACAAGUAUCUUGACUUUCAUGUAGUUGAUCAGUUUGGCUCAGGAAGAAAGACAGAUGAGGCCCUGGCUGCCCAGAGUGGCUACACCAACCUCUCUGACCACUGGGGAAACGUAGGCUCCAGGCAUCUCUCCUCAGCUGCUACACCUAU